This 610-nucleotide ribosomal RNA is filed under the name Paenibacillus sp. RNAcentral describes it as "bacterial SSU rRNA". It matches the Rfam family "Bacterial small subunit ribosomal RNA", at positions 100 to 698 of the family's 1533-position model. The record is from RNAcentral. Lineage: Bacteria; Bacillati; Bacillota; Bacilli; Caryophanales; Paenibacillaceae.
GACGGGUGAGUAACACGUAGGCAACCUGCCCUCAAGUUUGGGACAACUACCGGAAACGGUAGCUAAUACCGAAUAAUUGUUUUCUUCGCCUGAAGAGAACUGGAAAGACGGAGCAAUCUGUCACUUGGGGAUGGGCCUGCGGCGCAUUAGCUAGUUGGUGAGGUAACGGCUCACCAAGGCGACGAUGCGUAGCCGACCUGAGAGGGUGAUCGGCCACACUGGGACUGAGACACGGCCCAGACUCCUACGGGAGGCAGCAGUAGGGAAUCUUCCGCAAUGGGCGAAAGCCUGACGGAGCAAUGCCGCGUGAGUGAUGAAGGUUUUCGGAUCGUAAAGCUCUGUUGCCAGGGAAGAACGCUUGGGAGAGUAACUGCUCUCAAGGUGACGGUACCUGAGAAGAAAGCCCCGGCUAACUACGUGCCAGCAGCCGCGGUAAUACGUAGGGGGCAAGCGUUGUCCGGAAUUAUUGGGCGUAAAGCGCGCGCAGGCGGUCAUUUAAGUCUGGUGUUUAAUCCCGGGGCUCAACCCCGGAUCGCACUGGAAACUGGGUGACUUGAGUGCAGAAGAGGAGAGUGGAAUUCCACGUGUAGCGGUGAAAUGCGUAGAUAUG